AGGUUGGUGCAAAAGUAAUUGCAGUUUUUGUCAUUACUUUCAAUAGCAAAAUCUGCAAUUACUUUUGCACUAACCUAAUAU
Pan paniscus (pygmy chimpanzee) is the source of this 81-nucleotide microRNA precursor. The record is from Ensembl. NCBI's taxonomy places the organism in Eukaryota, Metazoa, Chordata, Mammalia, Primates, Hominidae.